ACUCCUACGGGAGGCAGCAGUGGGGAAUAUUGCACAAUGGGCGAAAGCCUGAUGCAGCAACGCCGCGUGAGGGACGACGGCCUUCGGGUUGUAAACCUCUUUUAGUAGGGAAGAAGCGAAGUGUUUUACACGGAGUGACGGUACCUGCAGAAAAAGCACCGGCUAACUACGUGCCAGCAGCCGCGGUAAUACGUAGGGUGCAAGCGUUAUCCGGAAUUAUUGGGCGUAAAGAGCUCGUAGGCGGUUUGUCACGUCUGCUGUGAAAACUGGAGGCUCAACCUCCAGCCUGCAGUGGGUACGGGCAGACUAGAGUGCGGUAGGGGAGAUUGGAAUUCCUGGUGUAGCGGUGGAAUGCGCAGAUAUCAGGAGGAACACCAAUGGCGAAGGCAGAUCUCUGGGCCGUAACUGACGCUGAGGAGCGAAAGCAUGGGGAGCGAACAGGAUUAGAUACCCUGGUAGUCCAUGCCGUAAACGUUGGGAACUAGAUGUAGGGACCAUUCCACGGUUUCUGUGUCGCAGCUAACGCAUUAAGUUCCCCGCCUGGGGAGUACGG
RNAcentral lists this ribosomal RNA (553 nucleotides) under uncultured bacterium. RNAcentral describes it as "bacterial SSU rRNA". It matches the Rfam family "Bacterial small subunit ribosomal RNA", at positions 335 to 885 of the family's 1533-position model. The record is from RNAcentral.